RNAcentral lists this transfer RNA (67 nucleotides) under Margarinotus merdarius. RNAcentral describes it as "tRNA-Trp". The record is from RNAcentral. Lineage: Eukaryota; Metazoa; Arthropoda; Insecta; Coleoptera; Histeridae.
AAGGACUUAAGUUAAACAAACUAACAGCCUUCAAAGUUGUAAUUAAAGUAGUACUCUUUAGGCCUUA